RNAcentral lists this ribosomal RNA (387 nucleotides) under uncultured bacterium. Its description in RNAcentral is "bacterial SSU rRNA". It matches the Rfam family "Bacterial small subunit ribosomal RNA", at positions 97 to 520 of the family's 1533-position model. The record is from RNAcentral.
GGCAGACGGGUGAGUAACGCGUGGGAACGUACCUUUUGGUUCGGAACAACCCAGGAAACUUGGGCUAAUACCGGAUAAGCCCUUACGGGGAAAGAUUUAUCGCCGAAAGAUCGGCCCGCGUCUGAUUAGCUAGUUGGUGAGGUAACGGCUCACCAAGGCGACGAUCAGUAGCUGGUCUGAGAGGAUGAUCAGCCACAUUGGGACCGAGACACGGCCCAAACUCCUACGGGAGGCAGCAGUGGGGAAUAUUGGACAAUGGGCGCAAGCCUGAUCCAGCCAUGCCGCGUGAGUGAUGAAGGCCCUAGGGUUGUAAAGCUCUUUUGUGCGGGAAGAUAAUGACGGUACCGCAAGAAUAAGCCCCGGCUAACUUCGUGCCAGCCGCCGCGG